Molecule: long non-coding RNA, 1995 nt
Organism: Oreochromis niloticus (Nile tilapia)
Lineage: Eukaryota; Metazoa; Chordata; Actinopteri; Cichliformes; Cichlidae
Exons: 2
Source: RefSeq, a predicted model, not a curated record
GAAAGCCAGUCAUCCAGUCGUGUCACUUAUUUAAACUUAAGAUGAGUUCAGUGAUUUAAAGGAUCCUGACAACAUGCAUCUAAGGUUACAGAGAGUGAAAACCUGAGGUUGUCUUGAUGCAUCAUCCAGGUGAGGAAAUCCCAAAAAGUGCUGAAACGUUUCUCCCACUAAAAAUCCUAAAUCCAGAUGAACACAAUCAACAUUUUGGGAAAACCCAAGCUACAAUCACCUACGAUGUAAGUCACACACCAACAGUGAAGUUAGCGUAGUAGUGUAGAAACCCAAUGCCUUCACUGUCUGCAGAGAUGUUCCCUGAUGAGAAGGUCAGUUAAGUUCUUCUACACCAGACUUCGUGAACAAAUUCUCUUUGGAUACAGCAUCAUGCAGAAACUGUCUAUAAUGUUAUUAAAUGCUGCACAGGAUAAGGAUUUGCCUGUAUGGAAAAAUGUUAUAUAGAAUAAAAGAAUAUAACCACUAAACAGCUUUAGCUGCCUGACUUCAGAAGAAGUCAUGCAAAGGAAACAUGCCAACACUGUUUCAGCACACUGUGUUCUCCGUCUGUUCUGCAGCAGGUUUUCCUUAUCUUUAAAUCUGCUUAUCUUUGUUACGCUUCAGGUCCAGGACAAAUAAAAGGCCUAAUAAGGAAGGUCAGAUAAAGUUUUAGCCUCCUGAUGCCAGAGAAAAGAUUUCUGGCCUGAGCAGAAUUAGGACUUCACUUUGUUGUUCCUGCAGUCCCAGCAGUAAUCGAUGUGCAAGCUGGCCUUGUCAGCAUGACCAGACCUACUUCACUCAUACUAAAUAUUGAUUUUAUGUGUCAAAUUGUGUGUAAGAGGUUGAACUGAGGGCCAGUGCCCCAUUUUUUUAAUCAUGAAAAAAAGGUUUCUUUUAGGUAAAUCUUGUUUUUGUAGGUCAAUGAAAUCCCUCAUUAUGUCGGGAUGCACACAGACAAUGCCCCACAUUUUGAUUGGCUCUAUAAGACAGUUUUCUAAAGUCUUUCUUUUACUGAAUGACUGUGAAAGCAGCAUAUACCCGUGCAGGUUAACCUGUCACCACCUUUUGGAGACAUGGAAAGAUGGAAAGGAGAACAUGCAAGGAGCAGAGGUAGUGAAGGAUGAGAUAUAUCGGGUCAGCCAUGCAAAACAGCAGACAGUGCACAAGAGAGGUGAAGAAGAAAGUGUAAGCAGGGUAGAGACGAGUGUUAGGAGUGAUUUUUGUGACCUAAGGUAGCAAAGAGAAGGUUUACAAGGCGGAAAAGGGGAAGUCCACAGAGAAGAUUCAUGGAUACAGUAAAGGAGGACAUGCAGAGGGCUGGUGUGACAUGCUAGGUCUGCUGUGUUGAACCCUAGAAGGAGCAGCCAUCCACACAGACAUACUCUUUGUCCCACAUUUAAUGUACUGGGAACUUGUCACACUGCGAGGUCUACGAAAGUGAACACCACAGAUAGUGCUUGUAAAGAAGACUCACACCUGCGCCUGUGUGUUUUAAUAUGAAGGUUUCCAAAGUCCUAAAUGUGUAAAUUUCAAGAUUAGCCAAGCCAUGCUAAGAUGUCCAAAUGUUUUAUGUGACACUCCAUCUGAUAUCAGAUAAAACAUCAGAUAAAAAGCUCUUCUGUCGAGAUGGAAAAUUACUGAGGCGAGAUAGAGAAGCUGAGCUCUGAACCCUACUCACACAAUUAAAGCUCCAGGUUGCAAAAUCAGGUAAAUGUUGAACUCAGCAAAACACAGAAACACAUAAAAGGUGGCUGAACUAAAACUUCAGCCACCAACUUCAGGUAAAAUUUGUGGAACAUGUAAAUUGUUAUUUCAGCUGCUGUCUGUGACCUGCAAAUCCAUUCCUCCGUCCUCCACGAGGGUCAGUGGCGUGACUGAGAACCAUCUGGCCUCACCGACACUUAAAUGUGGAUUUUAUGGUGUGACAUGUUGCGAGCAGUCAUGUGAAGUUGUUCAGGAAAAUGACCAAGUGUAAUCGGAAUAAAAAGCAUGAAAGAUUUUGCA